Non-coding RNA from Baffinella frigidus, 72 nucleotides. Lineage: Eukaryota; Cryptophyceae; Cryptomonadales; Baffinellaceae. The record is from the annotation of a GenBank genome assembly.
GGCCAUGUGGUGUAGUGGUAAACACAGGAGCUUUUGAUGCUCUUGCCCCGAGUUCAAUUCUCGGCGUGGCUC